Molecule: long non-coding RNA, 338 nt
Organism: Synchiropus splendidus (mandarinfish)
Lineage: Eukaryota; Metazoa; Chordata; Actinopteri; Syngnathiformes; Callionymidae
Exons: 3
Source: RefSeq, a predicted model, not a curated record
UCAUCUGCAGCCUGAAGGUGGAGUGGUGCCAGUCUUUCGCCAGUCACUCAUCUUUUGGAAUGAAUACUGUACAACUGUGAACUUCAUUUUGUCCGCAGCGAGAAUGAGGACAAAUAUGUCAAGUGAACAUCUCAACAGAAACAAGGCAGUUUUCAAAUUACCCUGUUGAAGUACAGCAACAAACGUUAUUGCAAUGACAGCUUUAAAGAACUGCCAGCAACUUCAGCAUAACUGGGAUGGAAGCGUGUUCACAUAUGUGAGUGACCCAUCGUCUUUACAUCUAUCACCGUGCUUGUCUGGAAACCCUCUUCAUCACACAGUAGUCGUCGGAAGGCAGG